Molecule: transfer RNA, 75 nt
Filed under: Candidatus Aceula meridiana
Lineage: Bacteria; Pseudomonadati; Candidatus Omnitrophota
Description: tRNA-Cys
Rfam family: tRNA
About the family: Transfer RNA (tRNA) molecules are approximately 80 nucleotides in length. Their secondary structure includes four short double-helical elements and three loops (D, anti-codon, and T loops).
Source: RNAcentral
GGCGUGGUAGCCAAGUGGUAAGGCAGCGGUUUGCAAAACCGUUAUUCAUCGGUUCGAGUCCGAUCCACGCCUCCA